CCUACGGGAGGCAGCAGUGGGGAAUAUUGCACAAUGGGGGAAACCCUGAUGCAGCAACGCCGCGUGAGUGAAGAAGUAUUUCGGUAUGUAAAGCUCUAUCAGCAGGGAAGAAGAAAGACGGUACCUGACUAAGAAGCCCCGGCUAACUACGUGCCAGCAGCCGCGGGAAUACGUAUGGGGCAAGCGUUAUCCGGAUUAACGGGGUGUAAAGGGAGCGUAGACGGCUGUGCAAGUCUGAAGUGAAAGCCCGUGGCUCAACCGCGGAACUGCUUUGGAAACUGUAUAGCGUGAGUACUGGAGAGGCAGGCGGAAUUCCGAGUGUAGCGGUGAAAUGCGUAGAUAUUAGGAGGAACACCAGUGGCGAAGGCGGCCUGCUGGACAGAAACUGACGUUGAGGCUCGAAAGCGUGGGGAGCAAACAGGAUUAGAUACCCCGGUAGUC
This 441-nucleotide ribosomal RNA is filed under the name uncultured bacterium. Its description in RNAcentral is "partial 16S ribosomal RNA". It matches the Rfam family "Bacterial small subunit ribosomal RNA", at positions 338 to 795 of the family's 1533-position model. The record is from RNAcentral.